CAGUAGCCACGGGAACACGGAGGGUGCAAGCGUUAAUCGGAAUUACUGGGCGUAAAGCGCACGCAGGCGGUCUGACAAGUCAGAUGUGAAAUCCCCGGGCUUAACCUGGGAACUGCAUUUGAAACUGUCAGGCUGGAGUCUUGUAGAGGGGGGUAGAAUUCCAGGUGUAGCGGUGAAAUGCGUAGAGAUCUGGAGGAAUACCGGUGGCGAAGGCGGCCCCCUGGACAAAGACUGACGCUCAGGUGCGAAAGCGUGGGGAGCAAACAGGAUUAGAGACCCGAGUAGUCCCUGUCUCUUAUAC
RNAcentral lists this ribosomal RNA (301 nucleotides) under uncultured bacterium. RNAcentral describes it as "partial 16S ribosomal RNA". It matches the Rfam family "Bacterial small subunit ribosomal RNA", at positions 509 to 807 of the family's 1533-position model. The record is from RNAcentral.